Carlito syrichta (Philippine tarsier) is the source of this 317-nucleotide RNA transcript. It is a transcript of the gene named 60S ribosomal protein L23a pseudogene, with no coding region annotated. The transcript has a single exon. Lineage: Eukaryota; Metazoa; Chordata; Mammalia; Primates; Tarsiidae. The record is from RefSeq and is a predicted model, not a curated record.
GCUUGACCAUUAUGCCAUCAUCAAGUUUCCCCUAACCACUGAGUCUGCCAUGAAGAAAAUAGAAGACAACAACACACUCGUGUUCAUCGUGGAUGUUAAAGCCAACAAGCACCAGAUAAAACAGGCUGUGAAGAAGCUCUAUGACAUUGAUGUUGCCAGGGUCAACACCCUGAUUAGGCCUGAUGGAGAGAAGAAGGCAUAUGUUCGACUGGCUCCUGAUUAUGAUGCUUUGGAUGUUGCCAACAAAAUUGGGAUCAUUUAAACAGAGUCCAGCUGGCUAAUUCUAAAUAUAUAUCUUCUCACCAUAAAUAAAUAAA